Molecule: ribosomal RNA, 2478 nt
Filed under: Escherichia coli
Lineage: Bacteria; Pseudomonadati; Pseudomonadota; Gammaproteobacteria; Enterobacterales; Enterobacteriaceae
Description: partial 23S ribosomal RNA
Rfam family: Bacterial large subunit ribosomal RNA
Source: RNAcentral
GUACACAAAAAUGCACAUAUUGUGAGCUCGAUGAGUAGGGCGGGACACGUGGUAUCCUGUCUGAAUAUGGGGGGACCAUCCUCCAAGGCUAAAUACUCCUGACUGACCGAUAGUGAACCAGUACCGUGAGGGAAAGGCGAAAAGAACCCCGGCGAGGGGAGUGAAAAAGAACCUGAAACCGUGUACGUACAAGCAGUGGGAGCCUCUUUAUGGGGUGACUGCGUACCUUUUGUAUAAUGGGUCAGCGACUUAUAUUCUGUAGCAAGGUUAACCGAAUAGGGGAGCCGAAGGGAAACCGAGUCUUAACUGGGCGUUAAGUUGCAGGGUAUAGACCCGAAACCCGGUGAUCUAGCCAUGGGCAGGUUGAAGGUUGGGUAACACUAACUGGAGGACCGAACCGACUAAUGUUGAAAAAUUAGCGGAUGACUUGUGGCUGGGGGUGAAAGGCCAAUCAAACCGGGAGAUAGCUGGUUCUCCCCGAAAGCUAUUUAGGUAGCGCCUCGUGAAUUCAUCUCCGGGGGUAGAGCACUGUUUCGGCAAGGGGGUCAUCCCGACUUACCAACCCGAUGCAAACUGCGAAUACCGGAGAAUGUUAUCACGGGAGACACACGGCGGGUGCUAACGUCCGUCGUGAAGAGGGAAACAACCCAGACCGCCAGCUAAGGUCCCAAAGUCAUGGUUAAGUGGGAAACGAUGUGGGAAGGCCCAGACAGCCAGGAUGUUGGCUUAGAAGCAGCCAUCAUUUAAAGAAAGCGUAAUAGCUCACUGGUCGAGUCGGCCUGCGCGGAAGAUGUAACGGGGCUAAACCAUGCACCGAAGCUGCGGCAGCGACACUAUGUGUUGUUGGGUAGGGGAGCGUUCUGUAAGCCUGUGAAGGUGGCCUGUGAGGGUUGCUGGAGGUAUCAGAAGUGCGAAUGCUGACAUAAGUAACGAUAAAGCGGGUGAAAAGCCCGCUCGCCGGAAGACCAAGGGUUCCUGUCCAACGUUAAUCGGGGCAGGGUGAGUCGACCCCUAAGGCGAGGCCGAAAGGCGUAGUCGAUGGGAAACAGGUUAAUAUUCCUGUACUUGGUGUUACUGCGAAGGGGGGACGGAGAAGGCUAUGUUGGCCGGGCGACGGUUGUCCCGGUUUAAGCGUGUAGGCUGGUUUUCCAGGCAAAUCCGGAAAACCAAGGCUGAGGCGUGAUGACGAGGCACUACGGUGCUGAAGCGACAAAUGCCCUGCUUCCAGGAAAAGCCUCUAAGCAUCAGGUAACAUCAAAUCGUACCCCAAACCGACACAGGUGGUCAGGUAGAGAAUACCAAGGCGCUUGAGAGAACUCGGGUGAAGGAACUAGGCAAAAUGGUGCCGUAACUUCGGGAGAAGGCACGCUGAUAUGUAGGUGAAGCGACUUGCUCGUGGAGCUGAAAUCAGUCGAAGAUACCAGCUGGCUGCAACUGUUUAUUAAAAACACAGCACUGUGCAAACACGAAAGUGGACGUAUACGGUGUGACGCCUGCCCGGUGCCGGAAGGUUAAUUGAUGGGGUUAGCGGUAACGCGAAGCUCUUGAUCGAAGCCCCGGUAAACGGCGGCCGUAACUAUAACGGUCCUAAGGUAGCGAAAUUCCUUGUCGGGUAAGUUCCGACCUGCACGAAUGGCGUAAUGAUGGCCAGGCUGUCUCCACCCGAGACUCAGUGAAAUUGAACUCGCUGUGAAGAUGCAGUGUACCCGCGGCAAGACGGAAAGACCCCGUGAACCUUUACUAUAGCUUGACACUGAACAUUGAGCCUUGAUGUGUAGGAUAGGUGGGAGGCUUUGAAGUGUGGACGCCAGUCUGCAUGGAGCCGACCUUGAAAUACCACCCUUUAAUGUUUGAUGUUCUAACGUUGGCCCGUAAUCCGGGUUGCGGACAGUGUCUGGUGGGUAGUUUGACUGGGGCGGUCUCCUCCUAAAGAGUAACGGAGGAGCACGAAGGUUGGCUAAUCCUGGUCGGACAUCAGGAGGUUAGUGCAAUGGCAUAAGCCAGCUUGACUGCGAGCGUGACGGCGCGAGCAGGUGCGAAAGCAGGUCAUAGUGAUCCGGUGGUUCUGAAUGGAAGGGCCAUCGCUCAACGGAUAAAAGGUACUCCGGGGAUAACAGGCUGAUACCGCCCAAGAGUUCAUAUCGACGGCGGUGUUUGGCACCUCGAUGUCGGCUCAUCACAUCCUGGGGCUGAAGUAGGUCCCAAGGGUAUGGCUGUUCGCCAUUUAAAGUGGUACGCGAGCUGGGUUUAGAACGUCGUGAGACAGUUCGGUCCCUAUCUGCCGUGGGCGCUGGAGAACUGAGGGGGGCUGCUCCUAGUACGAGAGGACCGGAGUGGACGCAUCACUGGUGUUCGGGUUGUCAUGCCAAUGGCACUGCCCGGUAGCUAAAUGCGGAAGAGAUAAGUGCUGAAAGCAUCUAAGCACGAAACUUGCCCCGAGAUGAGUUCUCCCUGACUCCUUGAGAGUCCUGAAGGAAC